RNAcentral lists this ribosomal RNA (224 nucleotides) under Cyclophora tenuis. Its description in RNAcentral is "partial Bacterial large subunit ribosomal RNA". It matches the Rfam family "Bacterial large subunit ribosomal RNA", at positions 89 to 323 of the family's 2925-position model. The record is from RNAcentral. Lineage: Eukaryota; Bacillariophyta; Fragilariophyceae; Cyclophorales; Cyclophoraceae.
CAAAUAUCCUGUGAUCCGGAGAUGUCUGAAUGGGGAAACCCACUUACCAUAAGGUAGGUAUUGCAACAUGAAUACAUAGUGUUGCAAGGCGAACGAGGGGAAGUGAAACAUCUCAGUACCCUUAGGAAAAGAAAUCAAUUGAGAUUCCCUCAGUAGCGGCGAGCGAAAGGGGAAGAGCCCAUUAAGUCAUAUAAGUUCUAGUGGAACGCUCUGGGAAGUGCGAC